Molecule: ribosomal RNA, 433 nt
Filed under: uncultured bacterium
Lineage: Bacteria
Description: partial 16S ribosomal RNA
Rfam family: Bacterial small subunit ribosomal RNA
Source: RNAcentral
AACGAACGCUGGCGGCAUGCCUAACACAUGCAAGUCGAACGAGACCUUCGGGUCUAGUGGCGCACGGGUGCGUAACACGUGGGAAUCUGCCCUUUGCUUCGGAAUAACAGUUAGAAAUGACUGCUAAUACCGGAUGAUGUCGAAAGACCAAAGAUUUAUUGGCAAAGGAUGAGCCCGCGUAGGAUUAGGUAGUUGGUGGGGUAAAGGCCUACCAAGCCGACGAUCCUUAGCUGGUCUGAGAGGAUGAUCAGCCACACUGGGACUGAGACACGGCCCAGACUCCUACGGGAGGCAGCAGUGGGGAAUAUUGGACAAUGGGCGAAAGCCUGAUCCAGCAAUGCCGCGUGAGUGAUGAAGGCCUUAGGGUUGUAAAGCUCUUUUACCAGGGAUGAUAAUGACAGUACCUGGAGAAUAAGCUCCGGCUAACUCCGUG